CCCACGUCGUGGCACUCUGUCUCUUCCGCAUCCACAACGCUUCUGCAGUCUGCCUGCGAGCCCCAGUCUCAGAGUCCCUGUCCCGGCUACAGAGGGACCAGCUGCAAAAGUUUGCUCAGUACCUCAUCAGUGAGCUCCCUCAGCAGAUCCUCCCCACAGCUCAGCGUCUCCUGGACGAACUCCUGUCUUCCCAGUCAACAGCCAUCAAUACAGUGUGUGGAGCUCCGGACCCCACAGCAGGGCCCUCAGCAUCGGACCAGAGUACUUGGUAUCUGGAUGAAUCGACACUCACUGACAACAUCAAAAAGACACU
Molecule: small RNA, 313 nt
Filed under: Pan troglodytes (chimpanzee)
Lineage: Eukaryota; Metazoa; Chordata; Mammalia; Primates; Hominidae
Description: processed transcript
Source: RNAcentral